Molecule: ribosomal RNA, 429 nt
Filed under: Pseudomonadota bacterium
Lineage: Bacteria; Pseudomonadati; Pseudomonadota
Description: Proteobacteria bacterium partial 16S ribosomal RNA
Rfam family: Bacterial small subunit ribosomal RNA
Source: RNAcentral
UGGGGAAUAUUGGACAAUGGGCGAAAGCCUGAUCCAGCCAUGCCGCGUGUGUGAAGAAGGUCUUCGGAUUGUAAAGCACUUUAAGUUGGGAGGAAGGGCAGUAAGCGAAUACCUUGCUGUUUUGACGUUACCGACAGAAUAAGCACCGGCUAACUCUGUGCCAGCAGCCGCGGUAAUACAGAGGGUGCAAGCGUUAAUCGGAAUUACUGGGCGUAAAGCGCGCGUAGGUGGUUCGUUAAGUUGAAUGUGAAAGCCCCGGGCUCAACCUGGGAACUGCAUCCAAAACUGGCGGGCUAGGGUAGGGCAGAGGGUAGUUGGAUUUCCUGGGUAGCGGUGAAAUGCGUAGAUAUAGGAAGGAACACCAGUGGCGAAGGCGACCACCUGGGCUCAUACUGACACUGGGGUGCGAAAGCGUGGGGAGCAAACAGG